GGCCUGUUGGCUGCUCAUUUGGGUAGAGCGCCGUGCUAAUAACGCGGAGAUCAUAAGUUCGAUCCUCUUACGGGCUA
RNAcentral lists this transfer RNA (77 nucleotides) under Daphnia pulex (common water flea). It matches the Rfam family "tRNA". From Rfam's summary of the family: Transfer RNA (tRNA) molecules are approximately 80 nucleotides in length. The record is from Rfam by way of RNAcentral. Lineage: Eukaryota; Metazoa; Arthropoda; Branchiopoda; Diplostraca; Daphniidae.